Molecule: long non-coding RNA, 1019 nt
Filed under: Gadus morhua (Atlantic cod)
Lineage: Eukaryota; Metazoa; Chordata; Actinopteri; Gadiformes; Gadidae
Description: lncRNA (ENSGMOG00000027909.1)
Source: RNAcentral
AUGAGACCCCCACGCACCCCCCCGUCCCUGACCCUUCUCCGUGUCCUCAGACGACGACCAGUCGGAGGACUCGGGCAGGGAGGCGGGCCGCCGCCCCGGCUCCCGCUCCUCCUCCUGCUUCCAGCCCGACGGCCACGCCUCCCGGAGCCCGGGGCCCCCCACGCAGGACGGCUCCUGCUCCUCCUCGGCCUACGACCUGGCCCGGCCCUUCUCGGCCUCGCCCUGCUCCGCCGACCGCCUGUCGGCCGACCACGUCCUACACCGCCAGCUCCUCUCGCCCUACUUCAAGAAGGAGGGCGGCGGCGGCCUCAUGGCCUUCCCCUCCGCGCUCUACGCCGCCAAGGCCGCGCUCAUGUCCACCACCGGCAGCCAGGGGGGGACCCCCGGGGCGGGGGGGGCAGGGGGCGGGGCCGGGGGCGGGGCCGAGGCCGGGCUGCCCAGCGACCAAUCGGAGAGCGGCGGCUCCACGGCGGGCGACGAGGACCAGCUGGACACGGCGGAGAUCGCCUUCCAGGUGAAGGAGCAGCUGCUGAAGCACAACAUCGGGCAGCGGGUGUUCGGCCACUACGUGCUGGGCCUGUCCCAGGGCUCGGUCAGCGAGAUCCUGGCGCGGCCAAAGCCCUGGAGGAAGCUGACGGUGAAGGGCAAGGAGCCCUUCAUCAAGAUGAAGCAGUUCCUGUCGGACGACCAGAACAUCCUGGCGCUCAGGACCAUCCAGGUCCGCCAGAGAGGGAGUAUCACUCCUCGCAUCCGAACUCCAGAAACUGGGUCAGACGACGCCAUCAAGAACAUCUUGGAGCAGGCCAAGAAGGAGAUCCAGUCCCAGAAGGGAGGUGAGUACGUAGGUGGGUGAACCACGCAAAAGGAAGCUCAGAACUUGUAUUUCUGAAUUUGUUUUUGCAUUUUUUGUUUGUAAAAAACGAUUUUCCUUUGUUGACUGAAAGAGGUAGUGGUAAGUGAGAGCAGUCAGGGCGGUGGUUGCCGUGGGUGACGUGACUUUGCGUGGCUCUCCUCACAAC